This is a small nucleolar RNA of Microcebus murinus (gray mouse lemur), 130 nucleotides long. NCBI's taxonomy places the organism in Eukaryota, Metazoa, Chordata, Mammalia, Primates, Cheirogaleidae. The record is from Ensembl.
GAGCCAGCCAAUGAAUCUGCUUCCUUGAAAGUGUUUCUGCAGAAAUGUUUAAGAAGCUGGUGAUAGCACAGCCAUGUUGUGGGCCUUAAGGACACUGAAGUUGUUAAGGUCCCUGAAAAUGGCCACAGCA